GAUGUUAGCGGCGGACGGGUGAGUAACACGUGGGUAACCUGCCUGUAAGACUGGGAUAACUCCGGGAAACCGGGGCUAAUACCGGAUGGUUGUUUGAACCGCAUGGUUCAAACAUAAAAGGUGGCUUCGGCUACCACUUACAGAUGGACCCGCGGCGCAUUAGCUAGUUGGUGAGGUAACGGCUCACCAAGGCAACGAUGCGUAGCCGACCUGAGAGGGUGAUCGGCCACACUGGGACUGAGACACGGCCCAGACUCCUACGGGAGGCAGCAGUAGGGAAUCUUCCGCAAUGGACGAAAGUCUGACGGAGCAACGCCGCGUGAGUGAUGAAGGUUUUCGGAUCGUAAAGCUCUGUUGUUAGGGAAGAACAAGUACCGUUCGAAUAGGGCGGUACCUUGACGGUACCUAACCAGAAAGCCACGGCUAACUACGUGCCAGCAGCCGCGGUAAUACGUAGGUGGCAAGCGUUGUCCGGAAUUAUUGGGCGUAAAGGGCUCGCAGGCGGUUUCUUAAGUCUGAUGUGAAAGCCCCCGGCUCAACCGGGGAGGGUCAUUGGAAACUGGGGAACUUGAGUGCAGAAGAGGAGAGUGGAAUUCCACGUGUAGCGGUGAAAUGCGUAGAGAUGUGGAGGAACACCAGUGGCGAAGGCGACUCUCUGGUCUGUAACUGACGCUGAGGAGCGAAAGCGUGGGGAGCGAACAGGAUUAGAUACCCUGGUAGUCCACGCCGUAAACGAUGAGUGCUAAGUGUU
Molecule: ribosomal RNA, 751 nt
Filed under: Bacillus tequilensis
Lineage: Bacteria; Bacillati; Bacillota; Bacilli; Caryophanales; Bacillaceae
Also listed under: 1 other name
Description: bacterial SSU rRNA
Rfam family: Bacterial small subunit ribosomal RNA
Source: RNAcentral